Phalaenopsis equestris is the source of this 1098-nucleotide long non-coding RNA. RefSeq lists it as uncharacterized. The record is from RefSeq and is a predicted model, not a curated record. The transcript has 2 exons. Lineage: Eukaryota; Viridiplantae; Streptophyta; Magnoliopsida; Asparagales; Orchidaceae.
UUUUCUUCCUUUUUCUUCUUCGUGAAAUAGCCGAACUCGGGUACCCCCUCUCUCGGUCGCCCCGCCGGCCUGCUCGCUGGCUCUCACCACCGAGGCCGCCGUCGUCAUCACACCGGUGAGUCUGCCAUCGUCAUCACGCCGGUGAGUCCGCCGUUCACUGAUUCUCUCUCAUGGACAAAGCCCACGCGGCCUCCCUCCUCUUGUUCUAGCAACAACUCCUUAUGCCCUGCCCCCUGGCCGCCUCCGGCUCCUUGCCGGCCUCCUCUCCCUCCCUGGAACGCUUCCCGCCACCGGAACAUGCCCUAUGCUACCUAUUAUCAUGCGAAGGCUCUUCCCUCUCACGAUUUUUUGUCAUGGACGAAACCCUAGGUGGGGGAACCCCGCCGGUCUCUCUCUCCUUCUCAUGGGGAGACCCUGACACCAGCGGCGGACCUCCUAUCUCGUCUUAGCUCGGACUACAUGCAAGGAGACAGUGGGAUCACGACGUACAGAGAUCCGAAACUCCAAUCUCUAUUCUUCUUUCGCAUUGCUCCUACCCAAAACCUAGGAAGUAGAUGUAGCGAGGUCAAAUCUGGAUGAGUUUAUUGCAACGCAUUCUCAUACACUUUUCCAUGAUUACUUGUGAGAUAAAUUUGGGGAUGCUUAGAACCGAAGCCCUCAUCAGCGUUCAACUCUUCCCGCAAAGGGAGUCAUAUCAACAAGGGGGAUCUCUAAUGAUUUAAAGCCAACCAUUUGCUUGCAGGUGCUGUUAAGCUCUCCUCACACCUAGCAUGGUCUACCACGCUACAUGUAGAUAGCUUUUUUCUUACAUGAUUUUCAUGCAGGUCGAGUCAUUUUUUGACUUUACGAUGUACUUUUUAGAGCCCUUAGGAGAGUUCUGUAGCGGUAAUAAGAUACGAACAUGAGUUUCGAGGCGCUUGAGUCGUGGAACCACAUGACGGGGAACAUGAGCAGAUGCUCGUAUCUCGUAUCUUAAUUCCACAUUCUCUUUGAUGUAUAACAUUUAGGACUAGGUUUGUAUAUAUGAUGCCCGACUUUCUUUUUUGCUUUCUGGAAUAUAUUGCCGACCUAGCAACACUGGGUCGGUUAUUUUUUAUU